CACACACGAAAAGAAAAUAAAAAGCCAAAUUCCUGAGAUAGCUUAAGCAUAAAAGGAAAAUGCUCCCUUAAAUUUGAAAACAAAAAUUAAAAGAAAGUGUAAAUUCAUAAGCUAGGCAUGGGAGUACAGGCUCUAAUGCCAGCAUUCCAGAGGCUGCGGGAGUGGGAGGUAGUAGGCUACAUAUCAAGACCUUGUUUCAAAAAAGGGGGGAAAAAAUCUGAUAGGAGUUGAUUAUAAUGCAAUCAACAAGUAAUUUUAUUAUUUCUUUGGCAUACAAUAUUUCAAUGUAAUAACCAGGAAAAAGUAUGACUCAAUAUUAUAUCAGGAUUUUACAACAAAUAUAACUUAGAGGUUUAGCAUCAUUUAUUAUAAGACAUUACUCCCAUAUAAAUCAACUUUUAAAACAAGCCUGAUUAUUUUAAUACCACUCCGAAAGUGAGGACUGGGCUGGGUGAGGGGUAGCUCGGUGGAGCAUUUGUUUAGUAGCUAAAGCAGGAAGCCCUGGGUUAAAUUCCAAGACCAAGGAAAAAACCAACCAGCCAACAAGAAAAUGGAAAAAAGG
Long non-coding RNA from Perognathus longimembris pacificus (Pacific pocket mouse), 562 nucleotides. RefSeq lists it as uncharacterized. The transcript is spliced from 2 exons. The record is from RefSeq and is a predicted model, not a curated record. NCBI's taxonomy places the organism in Eukaryota, Metazoa, Chordata, Mammalia, Rodentia, Heteromyidae.